Molecule: ribosomal RNA, 119 nt
Filed under: Pomacea canaliculata
Lineage: Eukaryota; Metazoa; Mollusca; Gastropoda; Architaenioglossa; Ampullariidae
Source: RNAcentral
GCCUACGGCCAUACCACGUUGAACACACCGGUUCUCGUCCGAUCACCGAAGUUAAGCAACGUCGGGCCCGGUUAGUACUUGGAUGGGUGACCGCCUGGGAACAUCGGGUGCUGUAGGCG